GUGAAUAUGAAGUUAGGUUUUCUCAAUCUCAGAUAAAACAAUGGGAGGAUUCCUUAAGAAAAAUUGUAGUUAUAUUAUUAAUCUGACUCAAACAAUGUAAGCAUGAAUAUGUAAUCUAUAAAAGGGUAGCACUGAGUAGUUUUCAUGAAUUCGAACUCCUAACAAAAUCACCCCUAAAAUUCAUAACGCAAAAAAAAAAAAAGAUCAAUUCUAAGUCCUCAGCAUAACCUGCUGCCAGUAUUUGAAACAGCUGAUCACUUUAUCCUUCUAGAAAAACUGCUUUUGCCUUGAUUUUGGGGACGAUUUUGGGGACAUUUCCUUUUCAGAUUUUUAACUUACUUCCCUGGUAGAUACUUGUCAGAAUUCUUUGCUGGAUCCUGUUAAUUUUCCCAACUGUUAAAUGUCGUUGAUUCCGUGGACACAGUACUUGCUCCCCUAUUCCCUACCAAAGUUCUCACUGACUUCCUUUUAAAGUACCCUGGAAACUGACAGAUUUGUAGCUUCAACCAGAAAAUUCAGGCACAUAUUUACCACAUUCUUAUGAUUUCUUUUUUUCCUGGAUCCACAAAGAUUGAAACUCGCCACAUGGGGGCACAUUCGUUCACCAUAACUGUGACUAAAAUUGGUGACAUUUUAAUUUGCAGGCAAUUACCUCUACAAACACCUCCCUUCAUUAGAAAUAAAAAUUGAGAUGUUCAAAGCAUCUUACAGGUCAAAGAGCUAAGCCAGAUCCUCACUCAAGCACUCAAGAGUUUUUUUGUUUUUUUUUUUUCCCGAGAAAAACUCUGGAGGAACAAACAACUUUGAACAUUUUCCCACUGAAGUCCUAGCGUUUUGGCGCUGACAGCGUUAACUUCUACACGGAAGCUGCCCCUCCGCCCUCCAGAAGGAAAGAGGACCCGUAUGGGAGCCGCAGAGAAGCACCUAGAACCCUGGGGCCUGAGGGCCGGCUGGAGGCAACACAGGGCUGAACCCCUGUCAGCCUGCCGGGGGACGCGGUGCCCGCCCUCCGGCAUCCGGGAAACAGCGUCCCAGCCGGCGCCUGCGCAGGUGCCACACUUCCUGGUCCUCUCUGGCUGCUUCUGA
This 1086-nucleotide long non-coding RNA is filed under the name Pan troglodytes (chimpanzee). RNAcentral's name for it is "lncRNA (ENSPTRG00000054566.1)". The record is from RNAcentral. Lineage: Eukaryota; Metazoa; Chordata; Mammalia; Primates; Hominidae.